CCCCAGACUCCUACGGGAGGCAGCAGUGGGGGAUAUUGCACAAUGGGGGAAACCCUGAUGCAGCGACGCCGCGUGGGUGAAGAAGUAUUUCGGUAUGUAAAGCCCUAUCAGCAGGGAAGAAAGAAGACGGUACCUGACUAAGAAGCCCCGGCUAACUACGUGCCAGCAGCCGCGGUAAUACGUAGGGGGCGAGCGUUAUCCGGAUUCACUGGGUGUAAAGGGAGCGUAGACGGCCGUGCAAGCCAGGAGUGAAAGCCCGGGGCCCAACCCCGGGACUGCUCUUGGAACUGUGCGGCUGGAGUGCGGGAGGGGCAGGCGGAAUUCCUGGUGUAGCGGUGAAAUGCGUAGAUAUCAGGAGGAACACCGGCGGCGGAGGCGGCCUGCUGGACCGCGACUGACGUUGAGGCUCGAAAGCGUGGGGAGCAAACAGGAUUAGAUACCCCAGUAUAC
This 450-nucleotide ribosomal RNA is filed under the name uncultured bacterium. RNAcentral's name for it is "bacterial SSU rRNA". It matches the Rfam family "Bacterial small subunit ribosomal RNA", at positions 329 to 795 of the family's 1533-position model. The record is from RNAcentral.